This 497-nucleotide ribosomal RNA is filed under the name uncultured bacterium. Its description in RNAcentral is "partial 16S ribosomal RNA". It matches the Rfam family "Bacterial small subunit ribosomal RNA", at positions 28 to 507 of the family's 1533-position model. The record is from RNAcentral.
GAUGAACGCUGGCGGCGUGCCUAAUACAUGCAAGUCGAGCGAACGGACGAGAAGCUUGCUUUUCUGAUGUUAGCGGCGGACGGGUGAGUAACACGUGGAUAACCUACCUAUAAGACUGGGAUAACUUCGGGAAACCGGAGCUAAUACCGGAUAAUAUUUUGAACCGCAUGGUUCAAAAGUGAAAGACGGUCUUGCUGUCACUUAUAGAUGGAUCCGCGCUGCAUUAGCUAGUUGGUAAGGUAACGGCUUACCAAGGCAACGAUGCGUAGCCGACCUGAGAGGGUGAUCGGCCACACUGGAACUGAGACACGGUCCAGACUCCUACGGGAGGCAGCAGUAGGGAAUCUUCCGCAAUGGGCGAAAGCCUGACGGAGCAACGCCGCGUGAGUGAUGAAGGUCUUCGGAUCGUAAAGCUCUGUUAUUAGGGAAGAACAUAUGUGUAAGUAACUGUGCACAUCUUGACGGUACCUAAUCAGAAAGCCACGGCUAACUACGUG